RNAcentral lists this long non-coding RNA (526 nucleotides) under Rattus norvegicus (Norway rat). Its description in RNAcentral is "long non-coding RNA NONRATT017781". Lineage: Eukaryota; Metazoa; Chordata; Mammalia; Rodentia; Muridae. The record is from RNAcentral.
UCAAACAUAAAAUGUGCUUAAAACAAAAAACUAAAGUAUUUUUCUCCCCCACUUUGUAAGACUUUUAUGCAAAUGUUUAACUCUUUAUAAGACCUUUGCUUACACAAAUGCUUUGCUGAGGUUUUCUCAUACUGAAGUCACUGAGCCUUCCCUCUUCAUUUCCUUUAUGUCAAUCCUUUUUAAACUAGCCAGUCUUUUUUAUUUUUAAUUAGAUAUCUUUCUUUAUUUACAUUUCAAAUGUUAUUCCCUUUCGCCAUUUCCUGUCCAUAAGCUCCCAUCCCCUCCCCCUCCCCCAUACGGGUGUUCAUCCCCCAAUCCACCCCCCUUUCCACCCUCCCCAACUUUACCCUGCACUGGGGGGUCCAACAUUGGCAGGACCAAGGGCUUCCCCUUCCACUGGUGCCCCAACAAGGCUAUUCUCUGCUACAUAUGCAGUUGGAGUCCAGGGUCAGUCCAUGUAGAGUCUUUGGGUAGUGGUUUAGUCCCUGGAAGCUCUGGUUGGUUGGCAUUGUUGUUCUUAAGGGGU